RNAcentral lists this transfer RNA (67 nucleotides) under Acorhinotermes subfusciceps. RNAcentral's name for it is "tRNA-Met". The record is from RNAcentral. Lineage: Eukaryota; Metazoa; Arthropoda; Insecta; Blattodea; Rhinotermitidae.
AGAAAAGUAAGCUAAUAAAAGCUAAUGGGUUCAUACCCCAUAAAUAGAGUUAAACCUCUCUUCUCUA